Molecule: ribosomal RNA, 468 nt
Filed under: uncultured bacterium
Lineage: Bacteria
Description: partial 16S ribosomal RNA
Rfam family: Bacterial small subunit ribosomal RNA
Source: RNAcentral
GACGAACGCUGGCGGCGUGCUUAACACAUGCAAGUCGAACGGAAAGGCCCUGCUUUUGUGGGGUGCUCGAGUGGCGAACGGGUGAGUAACACGUGAGUAACCUGCCCUUGACUUUGGGAUAACUUCAGGAAACUGGGGCUAAUACCGGAUAGGAGCUCCUGCUGCAUGGUGGGGGUUGGAAAGUUUCGGCGGUUGGGUAUGGACUCGCGGCUUAUCAGCUUGUUGGUGGGGUAGUGGCUUACCAAGGCUUUGACGGGUAGCCGGCCUGAGAGGGUGACCGGCAACAUUGGGACUGAGAUACGGCCCAGACUCCUACGGGAGGCAGCAGUGGGGAAUAUUGCACAAUGGGCGGAAGCCUGAUGCAGCAACGCCGCGUGCGGGAUGACGGCCUUCGGGUUGUAAACCGCUUUCGCCUGUGACGAAGCGUGAGUGACGGUAAUGGGUAAAGAAGCACCGGCUAACUACGUG